GGAGGUUUAGCUCAGCGGUAGAGCAUUCGACUGCAAAUCGAAUGGUCCAUGGUUCAAUCCCGUGAAUCUCCU
Batrachochytrium dendrobatidis JAM81 is the source of this 72-nucleotide transfer RNA. It matches the Rfam family "tRNA". Rfam says of the family: Transfer RNA (tRNA) molecules are approximately 80 nucleotides in length. Their secondary structure includes four short double-helical elements and three loops (D, anti-codon, and T loops). Further hydrogen bonds mediate the characteristic L-shaped molecular structure. tRNAs have two regions of fundamental functional importance: the anti-codon, which is responsible for specific mRNA codon recognition, and the 3' end, to which the tRNAs corresponding amino acid is attached (by aminoacyl-tRNA synthetases). tRNAs cope with the degeneracy of the genetic code in two manners: having more than one tRNA (with a specific anti-codon) for a particular amino acid; and 'wobble' base-pairing, i.e. permitting non-standard base-pairing at the 3rd anti-codon position. Lineage: Eukaryota; Fungi; Chytridiomycota; Chytridiomycetes; Rhizophydiales. The record is from Rfam.